This is a long non-coding RNA of Hordeum vulgare subsp. vulgare (domesticated barley), 570 nucleotides long. RefSeq lists it as uncharacterized. The transcript is spliced from 3 exons. The record is from RefSeq and is a predicted model, not a curated record. NCBI's taxonomy places the organism in Eukaryota, Viridiplantae, Streptophyta, Magnoliopsida, Poales, Poaceae.
CUGCAGUUUUUUAGGACCGAGACUGACAUGAUUAGGGCCUGUAGCAUAGAGGUUGGGAUUUUUGGACAGAGUAUACAGAGUUAUCACAUCUGCCCAUGAAGAGAUCUCCCUUGUGAGGAAGGAGAUAGCUGACGGAACUGACAGAGAAACCGGCUGCUCAAAGGAAAUAUCAUUUGAGGCAAGGAACCAAACAGAACGAAAACCAACAGGUGGGGUUGUUCCAGCAAGUAACGAUACAAGUUUCCAUUGGGACGAUGGCGGCUUCGGUUUCAGCUUGGGCGGGCAUAACCAAUCAAUCAAAAGGACUAAAUGGGUGCAGCAAGCCUGCGGUGCUGGAGAACGAAGAAACGCCUCACACCGCAUCAACAACAACAUAUGAAGCUCGAUCUAUGCUCUGAACUUUAAUCUUACCCGGGCAGGAGGAUGACAUGGAUCUCUUUCUCAUUUUCUGUCUAGUUCACUAUCCUGUGAAGGAACCCAUAUGGUUUUGUAAUACUAGUAUACUACUAUCAGGUUGUGGGAAAUGCUUGCAGGCGAAGGUUGGUCUCUUCUGUUAUGCGGCGUCGUAAA